This is a long non-coding RNA of Bombus impatiens (common eastern bumble bee), 1355 nucleotides long. RefSeq lists it as uncharacterized. The transcript has 2 exons. NCBI's taxonomy places the organism in Eukaryota, Metazoa, Arthropoda, Insecta, Hymenoptera, Apidae. The record is from RefSeq and is a predicted model, not a curated record.
AACGUGUACAGUGAAAUGUAAAAAAAAAAAAAAAUAAUAAUCCAAGUGUUUGUGCUUGGCGACCAACACUGUGACGCUCUUUUAAAGUACUAUUUUAAAAGUGCGUUAUAGCAUGGCGCAACCAAAGGUGCAGUGGUUCAAUAAUACUAUAGUGUCGGAACAACAAAUAGAUGACUAUUACGCUGAGUCAAUGCGUUCAUUAUUCCUACUUUACCUACCAAAGUUUCAGUGGCGUCAAAUGAAAGUAAAGAUUGUUGCAUUAGAAAUGUAAAUGAUUUUUAACGGGAAGAAUGCAUUAAUAAUUUCAGUGGCAUUUAAAGAUGUAACGACCUAUUUAAUAGGGAAUGGAAAUUUUACAAGAAGAAAUACUUAGUUAGUUUCAGUGGUAUCAAAAGAAAACAAUCAUUACGUAGGAAAGUUUUAAUUAUAUUGCUUUAAAAAAAAAAAAAAAAAAAAAGAAAGAGAAAAAGAGAGAGAGAGAGAGAAAAGAAAAAAAAGAAAGGGAGAUGCAUGCUGUGACUUAACUUGGUCGUAUGGGUUGAACACAAGUUUUCUCGUGAAGUUGAUCGUGAAUUUGGUGGUGUGAUUUUCUUUGUUUUGUCAAGAAGAUCUUUCUCAUCUUGCUUAGACCAGUUGUGUAAUUAGUGUUGUCUGUGGUCUGUGGCCAUUUUCGGUUCUCCUAAUUUUCAAAAAGUAACAAGCAUUGAAGGAAAGAAUAGCAUUUCCAUGUCUCGUAUAAAAUAAAAACAGUCGUGCCAAAUGUAAAAGUGAAAAAUGGUCGGUGUCGUUUCAAAGUGUUCCUUUUUAAAUUUUAAAUUCAGAAAUUUUGUAAAAAAAAAUCCAUUAACAUUAAAGAAAGAUUUGUUUCAGAACAACCACAACGAAAGGAUAGAAGGAUAGAAGAAUUCAUCUUUACUCCAAUGUAUUUGAUACAUUAUACAAAUAAAUUAUUUAAAUUGGCAAAUACUUCAAAGUGCAAUUCUUUUAAUACUGAUGAGACACAUAAAAUAAAUUAUACGCAAUAACCUCUCACCUAUCAUUCAGGCAAAAAUAUUAAGUAUAGUACCAUCUAAUGGUGGAAGUAAAAAUUGAUUCAUAGUAGUGUUCGUGUUUGUCAUCAUCAGUAAACAAAGAGCUUACACUAUAAGAACCACGUGCCAUUACUCCAGCUGGUGCAUCCUCCGUUGGUGUUGUAUAUGAUUGAAUUUCCGUUUUUGGAGGAUAAGAACCCACCAUAUGCAUCAUCUUAUCCACUGAAAGGAUAACAAGGCAAAUGAAUAUUAAACAUGUUAAGCCAUACAUACGGUACUGUCAAUACUUUGUUUUAAAAAUACCUGUGACACCUAAAGCAGAAA